UGGGGAAUAUUGCACAAUGGAGGGAACUCUGAUGCAGCGACGCCGCGUGAACGAAGAAGGCUUUCGAGUCGUAAAGUUCUUUUAUAUGGGAAGAUAAUGACGGUACCAUAAGAAAAAGCCCCGGCUAACUACGUGCCAGCAGCCGCGGUAAUACGUAGGGGGCUAGCGUUGUCCGGAAUCACUGGGCGUAAAGGGUUCGCAGGCGGAAAUGCAAGUCAGGUGUAAAAGGCAGUAGCUUAACUACUGUAAGCAUUUGAAACUGCAUAUCUUGAGAAGAGUAGAGGUAAGUGGAAUUUUUAGUGUAGCGGUGAAAUGCGUAGAUAUCGGGAAGAACACCGAUGGCGAAGGCAGCCUGCUGGGCCGGCACUGACGCUGAGGCGCGAAAGCUAGGGGAGCGAACAGG
Molecule: ribosomal RNA, 403 nt
Filed under: Verrucomicrobiota bacterium
Lineage: Bacteria; Pseudomonadati; Verrucomicrobiota
Description: Verrucomicrobia bacterium partial 16S ribosomal RNA
Rfam family: Bacterial small subunit ribosomal RNA
Source: RNAcentral